This is a small nuclear RNA of Callithrix jacchus (white-tufted-ear marmoset), 106 nucleotides long. Lineage: Eukaryota; Metazoa; Chordata; Mammalia; Primates; Cebidae. The record is from Ensembl.
GUGCUCGCUUCGGCAGCACAUAUACUAAAACUGGACGAUACUGAGAAGAUUAGCACCGCCCCCGUGCAAGGAUGACGCGCAAAUUCAUGAAGCAUUCCAUAUUUUU